RNAcentral lists this ribosomal RNA (253 nucleotides) under uncultured microorganism. RNAcentral describes it as "partial 16S ribosomal RNA". It matches the Rfam family "Bacterial small subunit ribosomal RNA", at positions 524 to 776 of the family's 1533-position model. The record is from RNAcentral.
UACGUAGGGUGCGAGCGUUAAUCGGAUUUACUGGGCGUAAAGAGUGCGCAGGCGGCCCGUUAAGACAGGUGUGAAAUCCCUGGGCUCAACCUAGGAAUUGCGCUUGUGACUGGCGGGCUCGAGUACGGUAGAGGGGGGUGGAAUUCCUGGUGUAGCAGUGAAAUGCGUAGAGAUCAGGAGGAACACCGAUGGCGAAGGCAGCCCCCUGGGCCUGUACUGACGCUCAUGCACGAAAGCGUGGGGAGCAAACAGG